CGGCAAGGGGCCAGAGCGGGUUUUAAUCCGGUUCAAACCCAAGGAGGAGGCUAGUAGGGGCGACUCGGAGGAGGACCUGUCCUUGGCAUCGGGCUUCUUGGAGGUAGAAGAAGAAGAGGGCUUAGAAGGUGGUGUUCGGGGUUUGAGGUCCUUGCUUCUAGGUCCAUCUUUUACUUGGGUUUGCUUGCAAGCAACGGGAGAGAAAAGGGAAGUGGAAGUGGAAGUGGAAGUGGAGGCCUGUUGGGAAGUAGAAGCUCUGGGUUUCUUCUUGUCGGAUCGGAUGGGGGAAUUGGAAGCAGAUCGAGGGCUGUUUGAUCCGUCAGAAUCCGAUUUCUUCGAAGAGAAGAAGAGCUUGUUUUUGAACACCAUUUCAUUUAUUCACUGUUUUCUUCAAGCACAAAGGAAGAAUGAAAGGCACCACUAAAUGAUUUUUCCACCAACCAUUUCUCUUCUUGAAUAAAACCAAGUUUGUUUGUUGUUCAAAUAAAAGAGAGCGUUGAAGAAGUUGGAUUUUGUUCAAAGCCUUGAGAUUGAAGAGAAAGAAUGCGACAUCUAAGGGGGCAAAGUAGGUGGAUGACGGAUGGAUGGAUAGCAUGAUAUAUAUUAGAAAACCGAACCGGAUCGGUCGCAUCAAAUUUUGACUACCAUGUGACUUUUAGACGUCACUUCUAACAAAUAUUUGGUCAAUUUCUACUAUUAGCCCCUUACUAUCGUUGAGUUGUAGAUUUACUCUUUAUAUCUUUCAAAUUUUGAAAUUUCACUCUUAAUCAAAAUAAUAACCAUUAAAAUCAUUAGUUAAAUUAUGUCAUUUUCAUAAUUUAGGUCAUAAACAUACUAUCACAUAUAAUAUAAUAUCAGUUACUCACAAAAAAUUAUGUCAUUUUAGUUAAUGAAUUUAACAAUUUUUAUUUGAGUUGUGACUGGAAUUUUAAAAUUCAAGCAGUGUAAAGAUUAAAAAUUAUCAAAUUGAAGAACAUCAAAUAAAUCUACAACUUAUACAUAGUAUGAAAUUAAUAGAAAAGUUUGACCUAACGAAUUUAAAAGGGUACCAUUUGGAUCAAAAAUAAAUUUUCAAAAUUUUCAAAAUAUAAAAAUUAAAAUUCAUCAAAUUAGUAAAUUUACAACGUGUUUGUUUGUCAAAAUGAAAUUUAGUGGGUUUUCUUUUUUGGUUAGAGAUGCUCCAUAACAACAGAAGCAAGCAGAUUUCAGCAGAGCACACAGCUCUUCUAGGGGUGCAAGGGCCAAAGUUGCAAGCAUGAACCCUGUUGAGUUAAUUUUUUUUUUUUGUCUCAAUUACCAAAUUAAGCACUUAAAUUUGACUUCAAUGGUUAAUUUGAUACCUAUAUUUUUUUUUCAAAUUAAAUUCUUAUCUUUUUUAUUAAAGCAAACAUGGUGUCAUUGGAUAUGGGUAUCAAAUUGAGAUUAAAAAAUAUAAAAUUAAACAUUCAAAGUAAAAUUUAGUUAACAAAUGAUAUAUUAACUGAAAAAUUGAUAAUAUAAUCAAAAUUAUAUGAUGAGGUCCUAAACCAUCGAGUACUUAAGUUCAAGUCUCACUAUACACAAUUGUAAUGUGUGAUUACAUGAGAAUUAUGUUACGUUGCUUCUAAUUCUUUAUCCAUUAUGCUUUGCAUUGAUUUAAUUUGAUAUUUUAGUUGCUCAUACAAUACUUGAUUGUAUUUGUAAUAUUAAAACUUUAAAACGAAAAAAUUGUAAUAUUAAAACUUUAAAACGAAAAAAAAAAAACACUUACAGCGUGUUUGGUUGGGUGUAUUGGAUUAGCCAAUACACCCCUAAUCCGUGGGCCCCACUAAUCCCCACUUAAUCCCGUGUUUAGUUUGAUGUAUUGCCUAUUACAGGCCUAUUACAACACGGAUGUAUUCCUCAUUUUCUCUGCUUCAACAACUAUUAGCCAUUCCGUUUCAAAAGUAAGGAUUAGCUAAUCGUUUCUGUUUUACCCUCCCCAGCCAAAAUCUACUGCUCCACCCCACCCUCUCCCUCCCAACAUCAACAAUAGUUUUCUUCGAACCAAAUCUCCACCGUCUCGCGUUUGGGAAGCGAGAAAGUGCGAGAAAAAUGAGUGGAUCGGGGAAGAAAGUCGUCGAUGUCGCGUUCAAAGCAUCAAAUAACAUUGAUUGGGAAGGGAUGGCUAAGCUUUUGGUCUCCGAUGAGGCUCGCAAAGAGUUCGCUACUCUUCGUCGCACUUUUGAUGAAGUUAACUCUACUUUACAAACCAAAUUCAGCCAGGUCUUUUUCUUAUAUUCUCUCUAAUCCCUAACUCCUUUUUAGCAUUUUUAUUGAUUUUUUUCAUAGAUUUGUUGGGUUAAUCCGUUGAUUAGAUCUUAUAGGGUUUUAGUUUUUUAAUGAUGAUUUUAAUAUUUUAUAUUGAAACAAAUUUUCAAUAAGGUUGAAUUUUUUUGUUCAAGGUUUGAUUUUGGAACCAUUUUUUUUUCAUUUUUAAGGAAAUUUUAGUUUUGUUCAAGGUUUCAGUCCUAUCUUGUUAAUAAUCCGAUUUCUUAAGCAGGAACCUGAACCCAUUGACUGGGAGUACUAUAGAAAAGGAAUUGGCUCUCGCCUGGUAGAUAUGUACAAAGAGGCAUAUGAGAGUAAGUUAAUUUGAUAGUUAUCAUAUUUGGCCUACUCUCUAUCCAAUUUUCCAGUCAUCCUAUAUAUGGUUAUGCUUAGAUCAGUUGCAGGUCUGUAAAAUCAUAAUUUGUUUGGCUUCCACAUGUUUGUGUUCCUCAUGCGGUGCCACUUCCUGAAUUUGUUACUUUGAAGAUCAUCUCUAUGGUACAAGGGAACUAUUACUUAGUUGGAUGCUGAUAUGGUCACCUUAAGUAGCUAGCUCUUUCCUUUCUUCACUCUCGGUUUUUGGGGUUUUGGAAGGGGUAUUAGUAAAGUAUGGAUUUUAUUGCUAUUGCUUUAUAUUUCUCUGACUAUUUUUUACGGAAAUAUCAAUGCCUGACCUAUAUCUGGACCAUAGAUAUGGGGAUAUGACCCUUCAAGGACCCUACAAAUUCUUGGAAAAAAGUUGAACAUACCCAUUUUGGACAUUUAGCCUGAUCUGACACUUGCACUCGAGUUUGCGUAACACAGUUAUCAAUCAUUUUCCAGCUCCAGAUCUCCUUGAUCUUUCCUAGAUCAGUUCCAUGCCCCAUACUUCACUGAAAGUUAAAUGGAAAUCAGUUGCCAAUGAGGACAUUGUUUAAAUUGGCUGUUAUUUUGUUUGCAAAUACAAUUCUUAUUUGUGUGCAAUUCACUUGUUGAAUGCUAUUAGCAUUUAACAAUUUCAGAUUAAUGCCGUAGAUGUUUCAUUUCAAUAAUGCUAUUAUGUGAUCAGAUUCUUCUGGACACCAAAACUUGAGAUACUCCUAUACUUAUGUUCAAAGUAGAAUGAAGAAAAUAUAGACAUCUAGCUACUCAAUUCUCACUUGUCUGCAAUUUCUAGCAGUCGAAGUAAUCAUAUUUAUCAUGCUUGUUAUAAGGUUUGGAUGGAGUUUUAAGGGAUUCACAGUUACAAAUGUUAUAUACUCUUCCAUUGCAGGUGUAGAGAUCCCCAAGUUUGUUGACACCGUCACUCCUCAAUACAAACCAAAAUUUGAUGCAUUGGUGAGAAUCAACAGGAUAAUUGACUCUCUUUUACCCUAUCUCCAAGUUUUUUCCUCGAAUGAUGUGCUAUUUAUUUGUGGUUAUAGCUUGUAGAAUUGAAAGAGGCAGAGGAGGAAUCCUUGAAAGAGUCCGAGCGAUUGGAGAAAGAAAUUGCAGAGGUUCAAGAACUUAAGGUAAUAAAUAAAACAAUGCCGAAAUGUGUGUCGUUGUGUUCCAAAUCACAAUUGCUGAAUUUUUUAUCUUUUUUUAUGAACAGCAAAAGAUCAGCACCAUGACCGCAGACGAGUACUUUGAGAAACAUCCAGAGCUUAAAAAGAAAUUCGAUGAUGAGAUCCGGAAUGACUACUGGGGCUAUUGACAUAUUUGUGAAUUUAAUGGCCAAGCUUUUGGUCUCGACUAGAAUUUUUGAACCGUUUCUGUUGUUUUAACCCCUUUUUCUCUUGUGCGGUGAUCUGGGUUGGAAAGAUUAGGCUGUAAUGAUAAGAAAAUAAUUGUGUAAGAAAAAUUUAUCCAAUCAUUUGAGAAACAAGGUGGAUCUUGUAAGACAUGCAUUCUAUUUAGCAGGCAUCCGCAGUCAUACUUUCAUGGCAAAAUUUUUACUGUCUGCCCUCUUCAUUCCAUUCUGUUUUAUGUUUAUUAUUUGAAUAUUAUCUAGAUACAAUUGAAUUUGGACACCUAUUUAUCUAGAUCCAUUCUAUAUGUAUUUUUUAAUAAGUGGUUAUUUAUAUUAUUAGUAUUUUGAAAUUUUAAAUUAUAUAAAUUAAUAUAAAAAAGGUUUUUACAUCAAGAAUGAAUUUAUUGAUUCAAGUGCAUCUAAACAAUCAUUUAUCCAAAUUCAUCGGGACGUGCUUUUUAGUUCUUUUUAAUAUUAAUUAUUUUAAAUUGUAUAAAUUCAUAUAAGAAUAUUUAUUAUCAAGAAUUUUAUGAAAUUAUAUAUUAUUAUUAAAUUAUAUGUAAUAAUAAUUAUUUUAAAUUAUACAAAUUCAUAAAAUAUAAUUUAUUAGUUAUAAUUAUUUUAAAUUUUAUUAAAUCAUAUAUUUUAAUUAAAAUAUUUAAUAUUAAUUAUUUCAAAUUUUCUUUUAUAGUAUCAUAUAUUAUUAUUUGAGUAAAUUCAUAUAAGAAUAUUAAUUAUUAAGAAUUUUUAAAUUAUAUAUUUUAAUUAUAUAUAUAAUAUAAUAAUUAUUUUUAUUUUACAGUAUCAUAUAUUAUGAUUUGAGUAAAUUCAUAUAAUAUUAAUUAUUAAGAAUUUUAUUAAAUUAUAUAUUUAAUUAUAAUAUAUUUAAUAAUAAUUAUGUUUAAAUAUGAUUAAAUUAUUUAUUAUUGAUAUUAAUAAUCUUAUUAAAAUUUAAAUAACAAUAACAAUAAUAAUUUACCAAAACAAAUUUCUGCUAAUUAUUAAGAAUUUUAUUAAAUUAUAUAUUUUAAUUAAAAUAUAUUAAAUAAUAAUUAUAUUUAAAUAUGAUUAAAUUAUUUAUUAUUGAUAAUAAUAAUAUUAUUAAAAUUUAAAUAACAAUAACAAUAAUCAUUUACCAAAACAAAUUUAUGCUAAGGGUAUUCUAGUCAUUUUAGUUUUUCCAUUAUGCUAUUACACCUCUAUUCCAUUCAACCAAGCACAAGAUUACUAUUACGCCUCUAUUUCACUACAUUCAACCAAACAGUUGAUUUGCUAUUACACCUCUAUUCCAUUACACUUCUAUUUCAUUACACUUCUAAUCCAAUACAGCGAACCAAACGUGCCCGCUGUUUUGUAAGAAAAAUAUAUAAAAGAAACUGCUGCUCUCAUUAGUUUCCAUUUUACCACCACCAUUGCUUAUUACCCAUUAAAAAAGAAAGAAAAAAACAGGGAGGUAUCCAUAUUCCAUGGCGUUAUUAUAUUUUCCUACCCAAUUAAGCAUGCAGCACCACUGCUUUUCUUUCAAGCACAAGUGAGUGGUGGGAGAUUGCAUUGAGAAGGGAGUCGAGAAGCGAUCCUUAGAGUGCUGCAAAGGCAAUCAUGGUGCACCGAUUGGAGUGCGUUACAGCAGUCAAUGCUAGGGUUAGCCACAGCUGCACCGGGCACCACGAAAGGUGUGCACACGUUCAGGCUAAUCAUUCUGAAAUAAUAACUUGGCAAAGAGAUACCUGUGGAAGAUCCUCUUGCUCAGAGAAAGCACCCUUGCCUGACAAUAACAAGUCUAUGUGACAAGUUCUUGGUGUCGAUAAAGGAGAUCUAGGAGUCAUGCUUCCUGCAGACGAUGUUGUCAUUCCUUGAUCAACCUUUGGACCAAAGCGAGUUUUACAUGACAUGGAAGGUAGACCCUUAAGGUCAUCCAUAAAAACUGAAUUAUCAGCUUCAGGGAAACAAUCAAGCAUGUCUUCUGAACCUCUCCUUGACCAAUCACUUAGUUUAGGAGAUAGAACAUCAAAUUCUUCAGUCACACUCGAAUUUGAUGCUUUUGCAACAUCUGGGCCCCCUAAGUGUUGGAUAUCCUUAUUAGCAAAGGAAUCUGCCAUCUUCUCAAGUGUUUCAGCAAUUCUUACAAGACGUUCAUCAACACUUAAGCCGUUCUGAUCACAUCGAUCAGUAGCGGUACAUAUUCUUGAGUGAUCUUCCACAUUUGAGGUGGGAACCUCCUCCUCACAAAUGCGGCAUAUUAUAGAACUUCCUUCAGAAGCAGUCGGUUGGUCUCCCUGAGAACUCGAAGAAACUUUGUGUUGAUGCUUAGAAGGCUGCCCUUCAGAUUCUUUUGCAGCAGGAAGCUCCUGAAGGUUAAUAGAAGUCAGAUCUACAUCAGACGUCCCUGUUCUUUUCAGAGUUUCACUUGUGCUAUUAUGCUGCGCCUUAAUAGCAGUAACUUCCUUUGGACCUUUUCUGGCAGGAGUUGCGAGUUUCUUCCAAGAAGUUAUUUUGUCUAUGCUCACAGGAGACUCCAAGUUCUUUGGUGUGUCAUCAAUGGGAGCAAUGGAACUGAUACGAGUCAAGAAGGUGAUACUCAAGGGGUUAUUUUUCUUAGCGGUCCAAUCACUCGAAGCAAGGCACGACAAUUAAAAUCAAAGAUGAAUGCUUUUGUCCAAGACUUUGUUGCUACAAAUUUAAUUCAUCAUGUUCAUGACGUUGACAAAUACGGGAAUGCAAUUCACUGGACCAAUCUUGGAAUAGUGAAAGCCCAUAAAUUGGUAGAUUAAUCUUUUAUGUAUCUUAUUAUUAUUAUUUACUUAAUUCUCAUUGGUUGGGACACAUCACUUAUGAGUUUUAAGUAAUUUCAUUAGUUAGGUUAUUAUUUAUUUAUUUUCUUAGAUAAUUUUAAAGAGUUUUAUUAGGGUUUAAUUACUCUUGUAUUUUACCUAUAAAUAGACUUGCUUUCUACACAUUGAGGGGAAUAAAAAAAAGAGUAUUUAUUUUCUUCCAAAUUUGUGUGAGGCAAAUUUUUGAGAGUAGAGUGAUUCUUCUUUUGCUAUUUAGUUUGGAGUUUGUUACUUUCGAGGGUAUUUCGGAGUUACAAAUAUUCAAAUUUCUUUCCCGUUCAUCGGUGUUUCUAGAGGUUCUUCUUCUAGGGGUUUCGUAGGGAACCGCUCAAUCAUUUGCGUUUUUGGUUACAAGUUAACUAAGGGUUCCAUAGGGCAAAUCUAUCCUUUUUUUUCUUUUAACUAAUUUUAUUUAUUCUCAUUUUUAUUUCUAAUUUGUGUUUCUCUUGUGUCUAGAUCUGGGAUUCCGUAUCAGUUGGUAUCAGUUUCAGACCAUUCGGUGUUAUUUUUGAAGCUAAAAUCAUAUCCGAAACAAGUUAAAAUACCAAAAACACUUUUCAUUUAACACUUUUCAUUGGUUUCGUCAAUUACCAUUCGGUGUUAUUUUUGAAGCUAAAAUCAUAUCCGAAACGAGUCAAAAUACCAAAAACACUUUUCAUUGGUUUCGUCGAUUGCCAUUCAGUGUUAUUUUUGAAGCUAAAAUCAUAUCCGAAACGAGUCAAAAUACCAAAAACACUUUUCAUUGGUUUCGUCGAUUUUUUUUCUCCUCUUAUUCUUUAAAAAAAAGCAAAGAGUGCAAAAAAAAACUGAUGCGGAAUCCCGGAUCUAGACACAAGAGAAACACAAAUUAGAAGAAGAAAAACGCCAAUAAUUGAGAUAGAUUUGCCCUAUGGAACCAUUGGUUAACUUGUAACCAAAAACGCCAAUAAUUGAGCAGUUCCCUACGAAAUCCCUAGAAGAAGAACCUCUAUAAACACCGAUGAACGGGAAAGAAAUUUAAAUAUUUGUAACUCCGAAAUACCCUCGAAAGUAACAAACUCCAAACUAAAUAGCAAAAGAAGAAUCACUCUACUCUAAAAAAUUUGCCUGACACAAAUUUGGAAGAAAACAAAUACUCUUUUUUUUAUUCCCCUCAAUGUGUAGAAAGCAAGUCUAUUUAUAGGCAAAAUACAAGAGUAAUUGAACCCUAAUAGAACUCUUUAAAAUUAUCUAAGAAAAUAAAUAAAUAAUAACCUAACCAAUAAAAUUACUUAAAACUCAUAAGUGAUGUGUCUCAACCAAUGAGAAUUAAGCAAAUAAUAAUAAUAAGAUACAUAAAAGAUUAAUCCACCAAUUUAUGGGCUUUCACUAUUCCAAGAUUGGUUCAGUGAAUUGCAUUCCCGUAUUUGUCAACGUCACGAACAUGAUGAAUUAAAUUUGUAGCAACAAAGUCUUGGACAAAAGCAUUCAUCUUUGAUUUUAAUUGUCGUGCCUUGCUUCGAGUGAUUGGACCGCUAAGAAAAACAACCCCUUGAGUGUCACCUCCUUGGCUCAUAUCAGGAACCUCCUGGCAGGACAAUGUGGUCCUUACUCCAAUCCAAGGCAUGUUGCUCCUGACUAUAAGAUUUCUUAGACGAGGCUGCUUUUGAUGCCUUUGAUGAACCCAAACUUUUUGCUUUUCUUAGAACACCUGAAAAUUUUCUAUUGUCUACAGGAUGCAGGACUCUAGAUUGGCGAAGUUGUACCAAAGGUUCAUCCUCAGCCAACCCACUUUCUUUGUGGAACUGCAACAAUCUUGUACACCUUGUGAGAAUGAAAAGCAUCCGGGUAUAAAGCUGCUUCAGCACACACGCAGGAAGUUCUUGACGCUCAUCAUCUAGCUCCUGAACAAUGCCUUCACACUGAAGCCAAAACUCACCAGGUGGUGUCAUAGCACAGCUUCGAGCCAAAACCAGCAAAUCCUCAAUAGUUUCCUGCCACUCAGGAUGAUUGUCAGCAGUUCUUUCUAGAAAUCCAACAAGAUCUGCUGCAAAAAUAGCCAGAUCAGAGUUCACUUCCUCCUUUGCUUUGUCAAAUUUUGCUCUAAUAGCAACCAAGGUUUCCUGCAUAAAAAGAAAAUUCUAGUUAGAAACACAUAACUGAAUGAAAAUAGGAGGCAAGAAAUAGAAACAAACCUCCAAGUUGUUUAAGCGCCGAGGUUUCCAAAACGGAAAUGGUUGUACACCUUUGGAAUUUAGUUCAUGGGAAAAGCUCUUAAUAUCAGCAGGGAACCUCUUCCGAGGACCACUUGUAACACGGAGAAUAGCUUGAAAACGGGGCGAUUCAGAUUCCUUUGGGUUUUCACAAUCAAAUGAAAUCUGGGAAAGAAAUAACACAUCACAAGUUAAAACUUAAAAUGAAAACAGAAGGCAGUUGUCCCUAGUAAUACGUAACAGAAAAGUAAGGAUCAACGAAAAUACUACUGUACCUCUAGUGUACAAAAAUCUGAACUUUUUAAGCCUCCAGAGUGCCCAAGUGAUGACUCGUCUUGCCCUGGUAACAAAAUUCCAAGGUAUCAAAGCAACGUUUGAAAGAAGAAUCACAACAAAUUGCCAGCAAGCCUUCAUGCAGCGAAACCAUUUUAUUAUGACCCAGCGUUCCAAAUAAAAAGUAGUUUGAACCCCCAGAAAUUUUCUAAAAUAAAAAUCCUCUUCUAGUUAAAACAGAAAGGAGAAAUGAAAAAAAUGCACUCAAGAGAAAUGUUGCAGCUUCAGAGAAAUGCAUAACUAGAAAAGCAGUGGGGUCUUUCUUUAUGACAUUAGGAAGGAAGAAGAUGGUAACUAGAAAAGCCCCAAAAGUACUUUAACCAAAUCAUAAGGGUAGUAUUCCAAAGUCCAUAUCGAAGUUCAGAACUUCAGAUAGGUGGAGAUGGGGCAGUGACAGUAAAUACUCAAAAAACUUUGUUACAUAAGAAGCAUUUUAUAAUAACCAACAAUUUGAACUGGCAAUAUGAGAAAAGCAGUUCAUUUCAUAUCCUUUAUAAUCACAUCACCCUCUAAGGGGCAGUUUGAUUACUGAAUAUACCAAAUUAAAUGCAGCUGCUAAAAAUAUUAAGAAUCACAAGCAUAUCAGCAUCUUAGGGAAAUUCCCUUUAGCUCUCCCAAAAUCCAUAGCCCAUCAACCAUUUCUAUUUCUACUAAUCACCCAUCCACAUUCUACAUGCUCUUUCUAUUUUAAUCUCUUCAUUCUUGAAGAAGAUUAGUCCAGAAUUCAAAAAAAAAAGAUCCUGUUGAGACAUGGCAAGAAGAGACAAUGAAGAAAGGCCUACCAGAAUCCAAUAUAAUAUAAAAGAUGAAUCAGUAAGAUCACAAGUACUAUAUUUCUGUGUUGAACAUGAUAUAUUUACCCACUGCGAUCAGCAGUAAACAUAUCAUGCACUUUUAGCAAUUAAUUUUCAUAUGCUAAUGUUUCCCUCGACAAAAAUCUAAUAUUAACUGAGAUAAAUGAAACUUUACAGAAAUCCUUAGAGCAAAUUAUAUACCUUUCCAUUUGGAUUCUACCAGCUCAACCUAAUAGCACAAUUUUAAAAUUUUUCUUUAAAAAAAAAAAGGUAAAUUGGAAAUUUUCUUUACAAAGAAUCUUUAAAAUUCAAUCUCUGCAACAUGCCAAGUGCCAACUGUUCAAGAAAAAUGCACAAGAGCAUGGUAAAAGUAAAUAAUAUUAACUAAACCAUUGCAUGUCUUUUAUCAUCUCAGAGUGACAACAAUCAAACCAAAGCAACUUUGUCUGGCAACAUGUUCUUUUAGCAUCUUCAUCUGUGCUAGAGAGUAAAAUUCUUAAACAUCACCCUCUCUAUCUCUCAAUAAGUUUUAUAAGGCACCAAUUCAAAUGCACUUCCACAACUUAUCAUGCCUCGUGGUAAAGUUAAGCUUCGUGUUCAUUCUGCCUAGCCUUCUAACUUUCUGACCUACGGAAGAAUAGCUCAAAGCUUUAAUGCUAAUCUAAGAUAGGGUAAUUCUAAACAGAUGAUGAAAGCAUAAUAAACUGUUUUAGCAUCUACCAACCAACUGGUCAUGAAACAAGGAAAUCCAGAAAGAGUCCCGGAAUAGAGGAGAUAACAAAAAUAAGAACAGAUAACUAUAAAGCAACAAUACUGCCACUAAAGUAUCAUCAAUGGCAUAGUUGAAACAUCAAGCAUAUGAGAAAUACAAGAAACACUGGUGAGUCAAAGUAGGAACAGUACCAGCACCUGAAGAUGGUUCCCCGUUCUGCAACCGUGACUUCCCUUGCACACCAGGACUCUGCUCUCUUGAGUGCCAACCACCACCACUCCCAGUCGACAUACUAUCCGAAUUGCUCACAUUAUCAAGCAAACUGUCUUGCAAUAACCUCUUGGUCAAUACGUCUUUCUUCCCAGAACCUGAUUUCGACGAACUACCAUCGCCACCACUACUGGAACCUCCAGGCCCAGACAAGUUACUAGCUUCGAGCACUGAAGCCACUGGAUUUUUCUCACCUCGGAAGCUGAAAAAUGUCUCCUGCGGCAAGGGGCCAGAGCGGGUUUUAAUCCGGUUCAAACCCAAGGAGGAGGCUAGUAGGGGCGACUCGGAGGAGGACCUGUCCUUGGCAUCGGGCUUCUUGGAGGUAGAAGAAGAAGAGGGCUUAGAAGGUGGUGUUCGGGGUUUGAGGUCCUUGCUUCUAGGUCCGUCUUUUACUUGGGUUUGCUUGCAAGCAACGGGAGAGAAAAGGGAAGUGGAAGUGGAAGUGGAAGUGGAGGCCUGUUGGGAAGUAGGAGCUCUGGGUUUCUUCUGGUCGGAUCGGAUGGGGGAAUUGGAAGCAGAUCGAGGGCUGUUUGAUCCGUCAGAAUCAGAUUUCUUCGAAGAGAAGAAGAGCUUGUUUUUGAACACCAUUUCAUUUAUUCACUGUUUUCUUCAAGCACAAAGGAAGAAUGAAAGGCACCACUAAAUGAUUUUUCCACCAACCAUUUCUCUUCUUGAAUAAAACCAAGUUUGUUUGUUGUUCAAAUAAAAGAGAGCGUUGAAGAAGUUGGAUUUUGUUCAAAGCCUUGAGAUUGAAGAGAAAGAAUGCGACAUCUAAGGGGGCAAAGUAGAUGGAUCACGG
RNAcentral lists this long non-coding RNA (11910 nucleotides) under Gossypium barbadense (sea-island cotton). RNAcentral describes it as "long non-coding RNA (GBAR_LNC019501)". The record is from RNAcentral. Lineage: Eukaryota; Viridiplantae; Streptophyta; Magnoliopsida; Malvales; Malvaceae.